This 465-nucleotide ribosomal RNA is filed under the name Vreelandella stevensii. RNAcentral's name for it is "partial 16S ribosomal RNA". It matches the Rfam family "Bacterial small subunit ribosomal RNA", at positions 338 to 795 of the family's 1533-position model. The record is from RNAcentral. Lineage: Bacteria; Pseudomonadati; Pseudomonadota; Gammaproteobacteria; Oceanospirillales; Halomonadaceae.
CCUACGGGGGGCAGCAGUGGGGAAUAUUGGACAAUGGGCGAAAGCCUGAUCCAGCCAUGCCGCGUGUGUGAAGAAGGCCUUCGGGUUGUAAAGCACUUUCAGUGGGGAAGAAAGCCUUGGGGCUAAUACCCUCGAGGAAGGACAUCACCCACAGAAGAAGCACCGGCUAACUCCGUGCCAGCAGCCGCGGUAAUACGGAGGGUGCGAGCGUUAAUCGGAAUUACUGGGCGUAAAGCGCGCGUAGGCGGUCUGAUAAGCCGGUUGUGAAAGCCCCGGGCUCAACCUGGGAACGGCAUCCGGAACUGUCAGGCUAGAGUGCAGGAGAGGAAGGUAGAAUUCCCGGUGUAGCGGUGAAAUGCGUAGAGAUCGGGAGGAAUACCAGUGGCGAAGGCGGCCUUCCGGACUGACACUGACGCUGAGGUGCGAAAGCGUGGGUAGCAAACAGGAUUAGAUACCCUAGUAGUC